This 686-nucleotide ribosomal RNA is filed under the name Bacillus thuringiensis. Its description in RNAcentral is "bacterial SSU rRNA". It matches the Rfam family "Bacterial small subunit ribosomal RNA", at positions 49 to 715 of the family's 1533-position model. Lineage: Bacteria; Bacillati; Bacillota; Bacilli; Caryophanales; Bacillaceae. The record is from RNAcentral.
UAAUACAUGCAAGUCGAGCGAAUGGAUUAAGAGCUUGCUCUUAUGAAGUUAGCGGCGGACGAGUGAGUAACACGUGGGUAACCUGCCCAUAAGACUGGGAUAACUCCGGGAAACCGGGGCUAAUACCGGAUAACAUUUUGAACCGCAUGGUUCGAAAUUGAAAGGCGGCUUCGGCUGUCACUUAUGGAUGGACCCGCGUCGCAUUAGCUAGUUGGUGAGGUAACGGCUCACCAAGGCAACGAUGCGUAGCCGACCUGAGAGGGUGAUCGGCCACACUGGGACUGAGACACGGCCCAGACUCCUACGGGAGGCAGCAGUAGGGAAUCUUCCGCAAUGGACGAAAGUCUGACGGAGCAACGCCGCGUGAGUGAUGAAGGCUUUCGGGUCGUAAAACUCUGUUGUUAGGGAAGAACAAGUGCUAGUUGAAUAAGCUGGCACCUUGACGGUACCUAACCAGAAAGCCACGGCUAACUACGUGCCAGCAGCCGCGGUAAUACGUAGGUGGCAAGCGUUAUCCGGAAUUAUUGGGCGUAAAGCGCGCGCAGGUGGUUUCUUAAGUCUGAUGUGAAAGCCCACGGCUCAACCGUGGAGGGUCAUUGGAAACUGGGAGACUUGAGUGCAGAAGAGGAAAGUGGAAUUCCAUGUGUAGCGUUGAAAUGCGUAGAGAUAUGGAGGAACACCAGUGG